Molecule: ribosomal RNA, 451 nt
Filed under: uncultured bacterium
Lineage: Bacteria
Description: bacterial SSU rRNA
Rfam family: Bacterial small subunit ribosomal RNA
Source: RNAcentral
GUGGGGAAUAUUGUGCAAUGGGCGCAAGCCUGACACAGCCAUGCCGCGUGUGUGAAGAAGGCCUUCGGGUUGUAAAGCACUUUCAGCGGGGAGGAAGAAGCCGGGGUGAAUAGCCCGAGGUGGAGGACGUUACCCGCAGAAGAAGGACCGGCUAACUCCGUGCCAGCAGCCGCGGUAAUACGGAGGGUCCGAACGUUAAUCGGAAUUACUGGGCGUAAAGCGCGCGUAGGUGGUUUUCUAAGUUGGAUGUGAAAGCCCAGGGCUUAACCUUGGAACGGCAUUCAAAACUGGGAGACUGGAGUACGAUAGAGGGGGGUAGAAUUCAGAGUGUAGCGGUGAAAUGCGUAGAUAUUCUGAGGAAUACCAGUGGCGAAGGCGGCCCCCUGGAUUGAUACUGACACUGAGGUGCGAAAGCGUGGGGAGCAAACAGGAUUAGAAACCCCAGUAGUCC